RNAcentral lists this long non-coding RNA (1753 nucleotides) under Coturnix japonica (Japanese quail). Its description in RNAcentral is "lncRNA (ENSCJPG00005005301.1)". Lineage: Eukaryota; Metazoa; Chordata; Aves; Galliformes; Phasianidae. The record is from RNAcentral.
CCCCGCCCCCCCGCGGGGGCAGGUGCACGGCGGCGGCGAUGGGCGCGGGGCACCGCCGCCCUGCCCCCCUCCUUUCCUCCCUCCGAUCCCCUCCCGUCCCCUCCCGCUGCUGCCGCCGCCCGCUCGGGGAUGGAGGCUGCGCCGGAUGGGACGGGGGCGGGGGUGCGAGGCUCCGGGCGGGCGCCGCUCGCCAUCCGCAUCCCGGCGGGGUCGGGGCGCGGCGGGUGCCCCGGGGGCUGCGGGAGCGGCCGGGCCCCGCGUCGCGCCCCGCAUGGGGCAUGCGCGCUCCCGGCGGCGCGGCGGGGCUGGGCCGCCCGGUGCUGACGGGACGGGGCCGGCGCGGCGCGGGCGGGGGACCCAGGGGUGCCCGCACGGUGUCCCCCCCGCCCCCCACCCCCUCCCUUCCCCGCCCGCACCCCCGGGGAGGACAGACAGACACGGACAGGCAGACAGACAGACACAGACCCCCGGGCACGGAGCGCACUAACCGUUCCCGUUUUCACCGGCACAUAAACCACCACUUGACCCAUCUUCGUCGCCUCCCUGGUGCCGUUUCCCAGGCGGAAGCCCUUGGACCGGACCCAGAACUGGAACUUGCCUUUCUCCCCCCCGCCGGAGCCGCUGCCGGAGCCGGAUCCCCCCUGCAGCACCUCGGCGAUGCGCUGCUCGCUGCGGACUCUGGCUGGGACAGAACAUCUGUCUGUUGCUAUGGCUGCAGUACACUUGAAGGGGAUGACUGGAUAAUUAUUGCAAACAUCCAUCCUGCCUGAUGUGCUCCCGGACCUCGCUGGCCCGAGUCAGGGGCAGCGGCCGGCAGCUCCAGAACCGGCCUUGGCCAUGGGGAUCCUACCUAGGGACUGUGCCUUGGCAACACCUUUUCAUUUACAUAAUUAAUGAGGCUGAGGCUGCAGGGCUCCUGGGAAAUCCGACGCAGAGCAGCAGCGAUGAAAUGGCACAGAGGGCUUGAGCCUUCACAGUGGCUCCGAGCUCUGCUCCCCGCUCUGGGGGCUGCCAGAGGGGAUGUUCUCCCAUUCCCAUUCAUUUACCGCCCACUUCUAUGUGAACAGAUUGCUCUGGGCCUGAUCCUGCACACACCUCCUGCAGGCGUGGGCUCUGGGUACAGUGCUGGGUGCCUGCCGGGCCCGGCCCUAUGCCUUGUGGGCUGUCCCUGUCUCAGCCUAUUCCCACGUCUGAAAUAACACAGCGAGAAAUGACACCGAGGUUCCCCAUCUGACUGGGUGCUGCUGCGUUCUUCGCCCAGCCACACAACUUCAAUGCGCCCAUUGUAUGGGUUUGUUUUAUUUUUUAUCUGUUUAUCAACAUGUGGAGGGACAGUGAGUCAGUGGGGGGAGAGCUGGGGCUGGGAUGAGCAUGGGUGUCCUCACCCAGGGCAGCAUCACGGUAUCACAGCAGGGACCCUCUGUGGGGCUCCCUGGGAGCCACCCUGUGCAGGACAGGGCAGACCUGUUUGUCCCAAUGCCUGACAUUGGCGAUAUGUAAUAAUCACAGAGUGCCAAGAAAUCAGAGCAGGACACAACAGAACUCAUGUCUGCUUCAUGCCCAGGGGUGGAAUCACUGCGGGGCACUCCCCAGGGCUGAUGACUUGCUGCGAUCUGGGGCAGAUCUGUGAGCCCCUGCAUGACCCCCUCCAAUGGGAGGGUGAUGGGGGGGCUGUGUGCUGCUCCUGGUCCUGUGUGAUCACUAUCGUCCCAGCAGUUUUGUGUAUGAUUCAAUAAACUCCUUUGCUUGCACA